RNAcentral lists this long non-coding RNA (406 nucleotides) under Homo sapiens (human). RNAcentral's name for it is "PREDICTED lncRNA (TCONS_00143986)". The record is from RNAcentral. Lineage: Eukaryota; Metazoa; Chordata; Mammalia; Primates; Hominidae.
GGAGUCCAGGCCCAGCCCCUCCUCCCUCAGACCCAGGAGUCCAGACUCCAGCCCCUCCUCCCUCAGACCCAGGAGUCCAGACUCCAGCCCCUCCUCCCUCAGACCCAGGAGUCCAGACUCCAGCUCCUCCUCCCUCAGACUCAGGAGUCCAGACUCCAGCUCCUCCUCCCUCAGACCUAGGAGUUCAGACCCGCAGCCCCUCCUCCCACAGACUCCUUCCACAGAGUCCAGGCCUCCAGCCCCCUUGUCUCUCAGACUCUGGAGUUUGGGCCCCACGAUCCCCUCCUUUCUCAGACCCAAGAGUCAGGACCCCCCAGGCCAUCAUUUACCCACAGCCAGGGCAGGGCAAAUCCUCCACAUCAUCUCAAGGAAGGAGAAUGUGGGUGGCAGGAUGAGGCCAAUUACU